Molecule: ribosomal RNA, 500 nt
Filed under: uncultured bacterium
Lineage: Bacteria
Description: bacterial SSU rRNA
Rfam family: Bacterial small subunit ribosomal RNA
Source: RNAcentral
GAUGAACGCUAGCGGCAGGCCUAAUACAUGCAAGACGAACGGUAAGUUGAGUAGCAAUACUUAGCCAAGAGUGUCGUACGGGUGCGUAACACGUAUGCAACCUACCCUAUACAGGAGGAUAGCCUAGGGAAACCUGGAUUAACCCUUCAUAGUAUUAUUGGAUGGCAUCAUUUGAUAAUUAAAACUGAGGUGGUAUAGGAUGGGCAUGCGUCUGAUUAGUUAGUUGGCGGGGUAAUGGCCCACCAAGACGAUGAUCAGUAGGGGUUCUGAGAGGAAGAUCCCCCACACUGGCACUGAGAUACGGGCCAGACUCCUACGGGAGCAGCAGUAGGGAAUAUUGGUCAAUGGAUGCAAGUCUGAACCAGCCAUGCCGCGUGCAGGAAGAAGGCCUUCUGGGUUGUAAACUGCUUUUGCCAGGGGGAUAAAAUUUCCAUGCGUGGGAAACUGAAGGUACCUGGUGAAUAAGCCACGGCUAACUACGUGCCAGCAGCCGCGGUAAU